CGACCACAACGGUGGAGCCUGCGGUUUAAUUGGACUCAACGCCGGGCAGCUCACCGGAUAAGACAGCUGGAUGAUAGCCGGGCUGAAGACUCUGCUUGACUAGCUGAGAGGAGGUGCAUGGCCGUCGUCAGUUCGUACUGUGAAGCAUCCUGUUAAGUCAGGCAACGAGCGAGACCCACGCCAACAGUUGCCAGCAUGUCCUCCGGGAUGAUGGGGACACUGUUGGGACCGCCUCUGCUAAAGAGGAGGAAGGAAUGGGCAACGGUAGGUCAGCAUGCCCCGAAUUAUCCGGGCUACACGCGGGCUACAAUGGUCAGGACAAUGGGUAUCGACACCGAGAGGUGGAGGCAAUCUCCUAAACCUGUCCUUAGUUCGGAUCGUGGGCUGCAACUCGCCCACAUGAAGCUGGAAUCCGUAGUAAUCGCGUUUCAAAAUAGCGCGGUGAAUAUGUCCCUGCUCCUU
This 462-nucleotide ribosomal RNA is filed under the name uncultured Methanolinea sp. RNAcentral's name for it is "bacterial SSU rRNA". It matches the Rfam family "Archaeal small subunit ribosomal RNA", at positions 877 to 1338 of the family's 1478-position model. The record is from RNAcentral. Lineage: Archaea; Methanobacteriati; Methanobacteriota; Methanomicrobia; Methanomicrobiales; Methanoregulaceae.